RNAcentral lists this ribosomal RNA (760 nucleotides) under Prevotella melaninogenica. Its description in RNAcentral is "bacterial SSU rRNA". It matches the Rfam family "Bacterial small subunit ribosomal RNA", at positions 28 to 776 of the family's 1533-position model. Lineage: Bacteria; Pseudomonadati; Bacteroidota; Bacteroidia; Bacteroidales; Prevotellaceae. The record is from RNAcentral.
GAUGAACGCUAGCUACAGGCUUAACACAUGCAAGUCGAGGGGAAACGGCAUUGAGUGCUUGCACUCUUUGGACGUCGACCGGCGCACGGGUGAGUAACGCGUAUCCAACCUUCCCAUUACUGUGGGAUAACCUGCCGAAAGGCAGACUAAUACCGCAUAGUCUUCGUUGACGGCACCAGAUAUGAAGUAAAGAUUUAUCGGUAAUGGAUGGGGAUGCGUCUGAUUAGCUUGUUGGCGGGGUAACGGCCCACCAAGGCGACGAUCAGUAGGGGUUCUGAGAGGAAGGUCCCCCACAUUGGAACUGAGACACGGUCCAAACUCCUACGGGAGGCAGCAGUGAGGAAUAUUGGUCAAUGGACGGAAGUCUGAACCAGCCAAGUAGCGUGCAGGAUGACGGCCCUAUGGGUUGUAAACUGCUUUUGUAUGGGGAUAAAGUUAGGGACGUGUCCCUAUUUGCAGGUACCAUACGAAUAAGGACCGGCUAAUUCCGUGCCAGCAGCCGCGGUAAUACGGAAGGUCCAGGCGUUAUCCGGAUUUAUUGGGUUUAAAGGGAGCGUAGGCUGGAGAUUAAGUGUGUUGUGAAAUGUAGACGCUCAACGUCUGAAUUGCAGCGCAUACUGGUUUCCUUUGAGUACGCACGACGUUGGCGGAAUUCGUCGUGUAGCGGUGAAAUGCUCAGAUAUGACAAAAAACUCCGAUUGCGAAAGGGAGCUGAGGGGUCGAACUGACGCUUUAUGUUCGAAGUGGGGGAUAGAACAGG